This 27-nucleotide non-coding RNA is filed under the name Homo sapiens (human). The record is from RNAcentral. Lineage: Eukaryota; Metazoa; Chordata; Mammalia; Primates; Hominidae.
UGAUCUAUUAUGAUGACCAGACUCGGC